CCCUUAGAUGUUCUGGGCCGCACACGCGCUACACUGAAGGAGGCAGCGUGUACUCCUGGAUCGAAAGAUUUGGGUAACCCGCGAAUCUCCUUCGUGCUAGGGAUUGAGGUUUGCAAUUAUCCUUCAUGAACGAGGAAUUCCCAGUAAGUGCAAGUCAUAAGCUUGCGCUGACUACGUCCCUGCCCUUUGUACACACCGCCCGUCGCUACUACCGAUUGAAUGAUUUAGUGAGGACUUCGGACUGGGACCAAUGCGGCUUUCGGGCUGCGUCGGUAUUCUGGAAAGAUGUCCAAACUGUAUCAUUUAGAGGAAGUAAAANUCGUAACA
RNAcentral lists this ribosomal RNA (327 nucleotides) under uncultured eukaryote. RNAcentral describes it as "partial 18S ribosomal RNA". It matches the Rfam family "Eukaryotic small subunit ribosomal RNA", at positions 1470 to 1796 of the family's 1831-position model. The record is from RNAcentral.